RNAcentral lists this ribosomal RNA (1411 nucleotides) under uncultured organism. RNAcentral's name for it is "16S ribosomal RNA". It matches the Rfam family "Bacterial small subunit ribosomal RNA". The record is from RNAcentral.
UAGUGGCGAACGGGUGAGUAACGCGUAAUCAACCUGCCCUUCAGAGGGGAAAAAAGGUGGAAAAGAAUGGUAAUACCGGAAAAGAACUGACCUCGGGAUCCAGGAAAAAAGAAAGGGGGGCUCCACAUGGAAACUAAUACUGAAGGAGGGGAAUGGGUCUGAAUAACUAAGUGGAAGGGGAACGGGCCACCCAGGGGAAGAACAAUAACCGGGCUGAAAAGAAGAACGGGCCCCUUGGGAAUGAAAAACGGGCCAAAAUCCUAAGGGAAGGAGCAGGGGGGAAACCUCCGCAAUGGAAGAAAGGCUGAAGGAACAACCCCCCGGGAAGGAAGAAGGGCUUCCGGUUGGAAAGCUCUGGUAAACCGGAAGAAAGGGCUUUCUGGCAAAAAGGAAAAAGAAUGACGGGACCGGAAUAAAAAGCCACGGGUAACUACCUGGCCACAGCCGCGGGAAUACCUAAGGGGGAAGCGGUGGCCGGAAAUAAUGGGCGGAAAGCGCGCGCAAGGGGAACAGGCCAUCUGGCCUAAAAGUUCGGGGCUUAACCCCGGGAAGGGAAGGAAACUGGUGAUCUAAAAUAUCCGAAAAGAAAGUGGAAUUCUUAGUGUAGCGGUGAAAUGCGUAGAUAUUAGGAAGAACACCAGUGGCGAAGGCGACUUUCUGGACGAAAACUGACGUUGAGGCGCGAAAGCCAGGGGAGCGAACGGGAUUAGAUACCCCGGUAGUCCUGGCCGUAAACGAUGGGUACUAGGUGUAGGAGGUAUCGACCCCUUCUGUGCCGGAGUUAACGCAAUAAGUACCCCGCCUGGGGAGUACGACCGCAAGGUUGAAACUCAAAGGAAUUGACGGGGGCCCGCACAAGCGGUGGAGUAUGUGGUUUAAUUCGACGCAACGCGAAGAACCUUACCAGGUCUUGACAUUGAUGGACAGAACUAGAGAUAGUUCCUCUUCUUCGGAAGCCAGAAAACAGGUGGUGCACGGUUGUCGUCAGCUCGUGUCGUGAGAUGUUGGGUUAAGUCCCGCAACGAGCGCAACCCCUAUCUUAUGUUGCCAGCACGUAAAGGUGGGAACUCAUGAGAGACUGCCGCAGACAAUGCGGAGGAAGGCGGGGAUGACGUCAAAUCAUCAUGCCCCUUAUGACCUGGGCUACACACGUACUACAAUGGGAGUUAAUAGACGGAAGCGAGAUCGCGAGAUGGAGCAAACCCGAGAAACACUCUCUCAGUUCGGAUCGUAGGCUGCAACUCGCCUACGUGAAGUCGGAAUCGCUAGUAAUCGCAGGUCAGCAUACUGCGGUGAAUACGUUCCCGGGCCUUGUACACACCGCCCGUCACACCACGAAAGUCGGAAGUGCCCAAAGCCGGUGGGGUAACCUUCGGGAGCCAGCCGUCUAAGGUAAAGUCGAUGAUUGGGG